GAUGAACGCUGGCGGCGUGCCUAAUACAUGCAAGUCGAGCGAACAGACGAGGAGCUUGCUCCUCUGACGUUAGCGGCGGACGGGUGAGUAACACGUGGAUAACCUACCUAUAAGACUGGGAUAACUUCGGGAAACCGGAGCUAAUACCGGAUAAUUUAUUGAACCGCAUGGUUCAAUAGUGAAAGACGGUUUUGCUGUCACUUAUAGAUGGAUCCGCGCCGCAUUAGCUAGUUGGUAAGGUAACGGCUUACCAAGGCAACGAUGCGUAGCCGACCUGAGAGGGUGAUCGGCCACACUGGAACUGAGACACGGUCCAGACUCCUACGGGAGGCAGCAGUAGGGAAUCUUCCGCAAUGGGCGAAAGCCUGACGGAGCAGCGCCGCGUGAGUGAUGAAGGUCUUCGGAUCGUAAAACUCUGUUAUUAGGGAAGAACAAAUGUGUAAGUAACUAUGCACGUCUUGACGGUACCUAAUCAGAAAGCCACGGCUAACUACGUG
This 497-nucleotide ribosomal RNA is filed under the name uncultured bacterium. RNAcentral describes it as "partial 16S ribosomal RNA". It matches the Rfam family "Bacterial small subunit ribosomal RNA", at positions 28 to 507 of the family's 1533-position model. The record is from RNAcentral.